GGGUGGUCUUGAAUUGGAAACCUUGUUUUGGAAAUAAAUGCAUGAAAUGCUUGUCCACCACGCCCCCAAAUACAAUAAUAAAUUCACCUGAAAAACUUGAAUACAGUGCAGUAGUGGGCAAAGGGUUUUGGCAUCUUAUUUUAAUGUUUUGUUUUACUUUUGCAAUAUAAAACUCCAUCUGGGACUGAUAAACAUCUUUAUUAUUUCUAUACAUUUUUUUUGUGUGUGUGUGUGUGUGUGUGUAUGUGUGUGUGUGUUCAAACUCUGCACGCUUGACCCUCAGGUCAUAGAUCAAAGAGAUUAAAAGACUUUGAGCACUGUGGAUCAGUGUCAAUAGACCUUUACUGAAGGAAAAGGAUUGAUGGAAUUAAAUAUGGGGUGACUUCUUGGAAACCUGAAGGAUUUAAAGGUAGCAGCAGAACAUAAUCCUGUGCGGUUGACCAGACGUGCGCGCGGUUGUAAUCCAUGCGGUUUACGUCAGCACCACGGACAGUGACAGCAGCUCCUCCGAGAACCACAAAUACAUUAUUUGGUUGGAUUCGUAGACUUCGAGAGCACUGAUCAGGCUUUGGAAUAGUCUUAUUUUUAAAUGUUAUUUCCUGUUGUUUUCUGAGAGAAUUUAAACUGCACAUGAUUUGUUUUUUUUUUGUUUUUUUUUUUUUACUUUAUAAGGAUUGCCACUGUGAGUGGGAAUAAAGCAGCACAGAGACGUCACAAAGGAGGAAAAGAAUCCGAAACCUCCAAACAUGAGCAGUUUUAAUGUGACAGGCUGGAGGUGGACAGAUGAAGCUCAGGCCUAUCUGUACUCGUCCUCCAUGGACGACCCUCUGUACAAACAGUACAGACCCCCCGUGAAGGACCUCGUCCCUUUGCCAAAGGCAGUUAUUUACCUGCUCAUGGCUGCGCUGGUGGUGGUUGGAGUUGCCUAUGCCAUCAUUGGACAUCUCAUUAAGGAUUUAGUCUUGGACAUUGCAGAUUGCAUACUGGGGCCGGCUGAUGAUGAUGACAAGGACAACACCACACAGCACGUGGCCUCCAGCCAGUCUCCUCCCUUUCACUUCUCUCAUUCGAAUGCCUUCCACGUCUGGGAUCAACACAGCGUGAUCAUCCCACUGACCCACAGUGAAAGCCCACAAAUCAGCCCGCCGCUGCUCUCCGCGAUCCCCUACAUCCCCACUUUGUUGCACAUCCAUUCUCACAGCUUGAGUGUGGCCCUCUGCAGCAGCCCAGAGGGCAGUGUUCCGCACGAAGACCUCUGAUGCAGACCAGAUGAAUGGAAUAUGGUCAUGAAAAUGAGUGCUGGAGUUUACUGUGCAUGGCCUACAAAUGUUGGACUUCAAUAACAGACACCAAGUUUUUGCGUCUGAUGACUUUGUGCAUGAAAUUUUAAAGUUAGUAUGACUGACUUAUGCAGCAAUUUUGUGACUGUGUAGCAGGAGACCAGAAAACUGUUCAACUGUUAAACUUCAAAAUGUGGAUCCCUUUGGAGGACAGGAGAUAAACUUGAGUAUCCCACAGGAGGACACUUUGGGAUUUGUGAUCCCUGAGGACAACCAGAAGA
Thalassophryne amazonica is the source of this 1561-nucleotide RNA transcript. It is a transcript of the gene named synaptonemal complex central element protein 2, with no coding region annotated. The record is from RefSeq and is a predicted model, not a curated record. The transcript is spliced from 3 exons. Lineage: Eukaryota; Metazoa; Chordata; Actinopteri; Batrachoidiformes; Batrachoididae.